CCCUUAGAUGUUCUGGGCUGCACGCGCGCUACACUGAUGCAUUCAACGAGUUCUACCUUGGCCGAGAGGCCUGGGCAAUCUUUUGAACCUGCAUCGUGAUAGGGAUAGAUUAUUGCAAUUAUUAAUCUUGAACGAGGAAUUCCUAGUAAACGCAGAUCAUCAAUCUGCAUUGAUUACGUCCCUGCCCUUUGUACACACCGCCCGUCGCACCUACCGAUUGAAUGGUCCGGUGAAGCCUCGGGAUUGUGGCGAGUUCCCUUUAUUGGGAGUUUGUCGCGAGAACUUGUCUAAACCUUAUCAUUUAGAGGAAGGUGAAGUCGUAACA
This 325-nucleotide ribosomal RNA is filed under the name uncultured eukaryote. RNAcentral describes it as "partial 18S ribosomal RNA". It matches the Rfam family "Eukaryotic small subunit ribosomal RNA", at positions 1470 to 1796 of the family's 1831-position model. The record is from RNAcentral.